This 329-nucleotide ribosomal RNA is filed under the name uncultured bacterium. Its description in RNAcentral is "bacterial SSU rRNA". It matches the Rfam family "Bacterial small subunit ribosomal RNA", at positions 568 to 898 of the family's 1533-position model. The record is from RNAcentral.
UCCGUAGGCGGUGCGGCAAGUCGGAAGUGAAAUCUCUGGGCUUAACUCAGAGGCUGCUUCCGAAACUGCCGUGCUCGAGUGCGAGAGAGGCAAGUGGAAUUGCGGGUGUAGCGGUGAAAUGCGUAGAUAUCCGCAGGAACAUCCGAGGCGAAGCGGCUUGCUGGAUCGCAACUGACGCUGAGGGACGAAAGCUAGGGGAGCAAACAGGAUUAGAUACCCUGGUAGUCCUAGCCCUAAACCAUCAGGACUUGGGGUUUGCCCUGUACGGGGCAAGUCCCGGAGCUAACGCGUUAAGUCCUGCGCCUGGGGAGUACGGUCGCAAGGCUGAA